GGUUAGCUCCGCCCAGUUGCACGCCCCAAGGGGCGCACGAGGCCUCCCCGGCAUCUACGCAGAGCGCUGGAGAGCCAGUGCCUUCUAUUGCGCCUGCGCGAGAGGAGGGCGCAAGCCUGCCUGCUUUCAGUGACUCCUCCCACCAGCGGCCGGCGCUCUAGGCACGUGUGCAGCCUACGCUUUCCGGAUGAUCUUCAUUGAAAGUAUUUCCACAAAAACUAGGAAUAUUUCCAAGAAUGCUUUAAUUUUAUGGAAUAUAAAAGCGUAGAACAUAA
Molecule: long non-coding RNA, 275 nt
Organism: Ictidomys tridecemlineatus (thirteen-lined ground squirrel)
Lineage: Eukaryota; Metazoa; Chordata; Mammalia; Rodentia; Sciuridae
Source: RefSeq, a predicted model, not a curated record